This 262-nucleotide ribosomal RNA is filed under the name uncultured bacterium. Its description in RNAcentral is "partial 16S ribosomal RNA". It matches the Rfam family "Bacterial small subunit ribosomal RNA", at positions 509 to 770 of the family's 1533-position model. The record is from RNAcentral.
CAGCAGCCGCGGUAAUACGUAGAUGGCAAGCGUUGUCCGGAAUUAUUGGGCGUAAAGGGCGUGUAGGCGGUCUGGUAAGUCGGGGGUGAAAACCCGGAGCUCAACUCCGGGAUGGCCUCUGAUACUGCUGGACUUGAGUGCUCUAGAGGGUAGUGGAAUUGCCGGUGUAGCAGUGAAAUGCGUAGAGAUCGGCAGGAACACCAGUGGCGAAGGCGACUGCCUGGGGAGUAACUGACGCUGAGGCGCGAAAGCUGGGGGAGCA